GGGGCAGUAGUUCAGAUGGGAGAACGCCGCACUUGCACUGCGGAGGUCAGGGGUUCAACUCCCCUCUGCUCCACCA
Molecule: transfer RNA, 76 nt
Filed under: Candidatus Ancaeobacter aquaticus
Lineage: Bacteria; Pseudomonadati; Candidatus Auribacterota; Candidatus Ancaeobacteria; Candidatus Ancaeobacterales; Candidatus Ancaeobacteraceae
Description: tRNA-Ala
Rfam family: tRNA
About the family: Transfer RNA (tRNA) molecules are approximately 80 nucleotides in length. Their secondary structure includes four short double-helical elements and three loops (D, anti-codon, and T loops).
Source: RNAcentral